CAUCGAUGAAGAACGUAGCAAAAUGCGAUACUUGGUGUGAAUUGCAGAAUCCGUGAACCGUCGAGUCUUUGAACGCAAGUUGCRCUCGAGGCCACCCGACCGAGGGCAUGCCUACCUGGGCGUCAUGC
Molecule: ribosomal RNA, 128 nt
Filed under: Phytelephas tumacana
Lineage: Eukaryota; Viridiplantae; Streptophyta; Magnoliopsida; Arecales; Arecaceae
Description: partial 5.8S ribosomal RNA
Rfam family: 5.8S ribosomal RNA
About the family: 5.8S ribosomal RNA (5.8S rRNA) is a component of the large subunit of the eukaryotic ribosome. It is transcribed by RNA polymerase I as part of the 45S precursor that also contains 18S and 28S rRNA. Functionally, it is thought that 5.8S rRNA may be involved in ribosome translocation.
Source: RNAcentral